Molecule: long non-coding RNA, 1599 nt
Organism: Chinchilla lanigera (long-tailed chinchilla)
Lineage: Eukaryota; Metazoa; Chordata; Mammalia; Rodentia; Chinchillidae
Exons: 3
Source: RefSeq, a predicted model, not a curated record
UUGUGUACUUACUCGACAGGAAGACACACACCAGCUAAAAAGCUGAUGGAGGAAGGAGACUAGGAGAGUCACGCAAAUAAAGAAGCAGGGAUGCUGUCCACCGUAUUGGAAGGCAGCCGAGGAGGCCCGCUCCACAGGCCACACAGAUGGAGCUGCCUGGUCUUGGACUUCCAGCCUCCAAGACUGUGAGCUAAGCUGGGAAAUCCAAAGCACGGCAUCGGCAUCCAGUCCACAUCUGAUAAAAGCCUGUGCCUGUAUCCCGGCCUGGUGGAAGACAUCACAUGGCGAUUCCAACCAGUCCACCUAGCUUGGGUCUCUCUUCCUCUUCUUACAAAGAUAAUAUUCACUUUACAAGGUUGUUGAGAAUAUUAAGUAAACAUAACAUUUCAGAAUUAUUUUAUACAGUUAUUUGCCCAGGUGUUCAACAAAUGCUAGAAUUGCUUCUUCUGGGUAAUGAGUACUUGGCAGUUCGAUAUGUAUUUCUCUACCUUUUCUGUAUGUUAAAACUGUUUUAUAAGAAAAAAGGGUGCGAGUGUGUAGCUCAGGGUAGAGUGCUUGCGUAGCAUGUCUGAGGCCCCUGGGCUCAGCUUCCAAUGCCACCGGAAAAGUCGUAGAAGAGGAAGAAAUGUUAAUUCUAGUUCUUCUCCCUUUUGAUCUUCUCUUCCUUGGCACUCCCUCGUGUAAGCUAUAAUUCUAUGAAUGAAUGUGAGGUGAGGUAAAUUCCAAGUGACUAAAUAGAUCAUCUCUUUGAGGAUCCAAAAAAUGGAUGAAACAUGAAUUAGGAACUUCUCACCUCCACAUAGAGAAAUGUCCCAGUCAAAGGUCCAGGCUCUUGUGAUAAUUCUUUUCCUUUUUCUCCUCCUGUGGAGGCAGCUUCUCCAGCGACCAGCAGGAGGGACCUUGCCAGUCCACAGUCUUGGAGCAGUCUCUCCCCGUCACGUGUGCUGGAUCUAGCGAGUGGCUGCAGAGUGAUGGGACACCACUUCUGGGACCGGGGGAAAGCAGUGUGACUUCCGUCUUGCCGUUUGUUCCUCGCUUUCUCUCUGUCCAGCGUCCAAGCUGUGAGCUGGCCCGUGGAGAGGCCCCCAAGGCCAGGGGGAAGCCUUCUGCCAACCACUGUAUGUGUGAACUUGCAGAUGAUCCCUCGCCGGCAGAGCCUGGGGGGAGCGUGCACACUCUGCUGACACCUUGGUGGCCCCUCAUGAGGAAGUCCAAGCCCAGGACCCAAGUGAGCCAGGAUAGAGGCCUCAACACAGGAAAGGCGCUAAUAAAUGCCGCUGUUGUCAUCUUAAGUGCUAAAUUUGGGAUUAAUUUUUAUAUAGCAAUAGAUAAUAAAUAUACCUGUCUCUUGGCGGAAGCAUUCCUUUAGAGUAUGUAUAAACAGGAAGAUUUUCUGUGCAUUCAAGGAUGAUAAGUUUUUCCAGAAAUGGGCUGACAUACAAUUUCUAUCCAGAGCCCUUCUAUUGCACAAAUAAUCACUAGGAGAGAGUUGUCAAGAUUUCAUUCAUCACACAAAAUUUAUGAGCUAGAGGGUUUUUUUUCCUGGUUUUUGUUUUGUUUUGUUUUGUUGUUUCUUGAGACAAGGUCUCACUAUGCAAU